Molecule: microRNA precursor, 74 nt
Filed under: Amazona aestiva (blue-fronted amazon)
Lineage: Eukaryota; Metazoa; Chordata; Aves; Psittaciformes; Psittacidae
Also listed under: 1 other name
Description: mir-1744 microRNA precursor family
Rfam family: mir-1744 microRNA precursor family
Source: Rfam by way of RNAcentral
GGGACCCAGUACUCCUCCAUUGAACUCAAAAAGCAGAACCUGUGUUGACUUCAAGAGGAGCAAGACUGAGCCCU